GUGAGGAAUCUUGCGCAAUGGGGGAAACCCUGACGCAGCAACGCCGCGUGAGUGAGGAAGGUCUUCGGAUCGUAAAGCUCUGUCAGGUGAGAAGAAAUAUGAGAAGGUUAAUAGCCUUCUUGCUUGACGGUACCACCAGAGGAAGCACCGGCCAACUCCGUGCCAGCAGCCGCGGUAAUACGGGGGGUGCAAGCGUUGUUCGGAAUCAUUGGGCGUAAAGAGCGUGUAGGCGGCUGGGUAAGUCAGAUGUGAAAGCCCUGAGCUCAACUCAGGAAGUGCAUUUGAAACUGUCCAGCUCGAGUAAGGGAGAGGAAAGUGGAAUUCCUGGUGUAGAGGUGAAAUUCGUAGAUAUCAGGAGGAACACCGGUGGCGAAGGCGACUUUCUGGCCCUAUACUGACGCUGAGACGCGAGAGCGUGGGUAGCAAACAGGAUUAGAAACCCUAGUAGUCC
Molecule: ribosomal RNA, 451 nt
Filed under: uncultured bacterium
Lineage: Bacteria
Description: bacterial SSU rRNA
Rfam family: Bacterial small subunit ribosomal RNA
Source: RNAcentral